AGGGAUGCCAGAUCGUGUGAAUCCUCCUCAGAGUUGUUGCCAGGUUGUACAAAUCCUCCUCAAGGUAUUAUAGGCCUCCUUGGAUGAUUUAUUGCACUGCUUGCUCAACCAGUGACAUGAAGCUGUCGGAACUACUACUUUGUCGUAACUGCAGCUCUCCGUUGCCAUUUCCAGGGCUGGAGGAUAAAUCACAGCACUACACUAGGAUGAUGAUGAUGAUGAUGAUGUUGUUCUGCAGUAUUAUUUAAGCCAUGCACAAUGAUGCAGUUUCAAUCAGCAACCACAUGGAAGGAACAGCAUGCUGUGUGAAUCCUGAAUCACUUCCAAAUAAACAAGAGCUAUGCAACGAGUGGAGUAACACAACCCACAUGUAUGUAGUUGGUUGUUAUUUAAUGCAUAGGCUGGAUGAUGACG
Sinocyclocheilus anshuiensis is the source of this 414-nucleotide long non-coding RNA. RefSeq lists it as uncharacterized. The record is from RefSeq and is a predicted model, not a curated record. Lineage: Eukaryota; Metazoa; Chordata; Actinopteri; Cypriniformes; Cyprinidae. The transcript is spliced from 3 exons.